UUAAGCGACUAAGCGUACACGGUGGAUGCCCUGGCAGUCAGAGGCGAUGAAGGACGUGCUAAUCUGCGAUAAGCGUCGGUAAGGUGAUAUGAACCGUUAUAACCGGCGAUUUCCGAAUGGGGAAACCCAGUGUGAUUCGUCACACUAUCAUUAACUGAAUCCAUAGGUUAAUGAGGCGAACCGGGGGAACUGAAACAUCUAAGUACCCCGAGGAAAAGAAAUCAACCGAGAUUCCCCCAGUAGCGGCGAGCGAACGGGGAGGAGCCCAGAGCCUGAAUCAGUGUGUGUGUUAGUGGAAGCGUCUGGAAAGGCGCGCGAUACAGGGUGACAGCCCCGUACACAAAAAUGCACAUGCUGUGAGCUCGAUGAGUAGGGCGGGACACGUGGUAUCCUGUCUGAAUAUGGGGGGACCAUCCUCCAAGGCUAAAUACUCCUGACUGACCGAUAGUGAACCAGUACCGUGAGGGAAAGGCGAAAAGAACCCCGGCGAGGGGAGUGAAAAAGAACCUGAAACCGUGUACGUACAAGCAGUGGGAGCCUCUUUAUGGGGUGACUGCGUACCUUUUGUAUAAUGGGUCAGCGACUUAUAUUCUGUAGCAAGGUUAACCGAAUAGGGUAGCCGAAGGGAAACCGAGUCUUAACUGGGCGUUAAGUUGCAGGGUAUAGACCCGAAACCCGGUGAUCUAGCCAUGGGCAGGUUGAAGGUUGGGUAACACUAACUGGAGGACCGAACCGACUAAUGUUGAAAAAUUAGCGGAUGACUUGUGGCUGGGGGUGAAAGGCCAAUCAAACCGGGAGAUAGCUGGUUCUCCCCGAAAGCUAUUUAGGUAGCGCCUCGUGAAUUCAUCUCCGGGGGUAGAGCACUGUUUCGGCAAGGGGGUCAUCCCGACUUACCAACCCGAUGCAAACUGCGAAUACCGGAGAAUGUUAUCACGGGAGACACACGGCGGGUGCUAACGUCCGUCGUGAAGAGGGAAACAACCCAGACCGCCAGCUAAGGUCCCAAAGUCAUGGUUAAGUGGGAAACGAUGUGGGAAGGCCCAGACAGCCAGGAUGUUGGCUUAGAAGCAGCCAUCAUUUAAAGAAAGCGUAAUAGCUCACUGGUCGAGUCGGCCUGCGCGGAAGAUGUAACGGGGCUAAACCAUGCACCGAAGCUGCGGCAGCGACACUAUGUGUUGUUGGGUAGGGGAGCGUUCUGUAAGCCUGUGAAGGUGUACUGUGAGGUAUGCUGGAGGUAUCAGAAGUGCGAAUGCUGACAUAAGUAACGAUAAAGCGGGUGAAAAGCCCGCUCGCCGGAAGACCAAGGGUUCCUGUCCAACGUUAAUCGGGGCAGGGUGAGUCGACCCCUAAGGCGAGGCCGAAAGGCGUAGUCGAUGGGAAACAGGUUAAUAUUCCUGUACUUGGUGUUACUGCGAAGGGGGGACGGAGAAGGCUAUGUUGGCCGGGCGACGGUUGUCCCGGUUUAAGCGUGUAGGCUGAUUUUCCAGGCAAAUCCGGAAAAUCAAGGCUGAGGCGUGAUGACGAGGCACUACGGUGCUGAAGCAACAAAUGCCCUGCUUCCAGGAAAAGCCUCUAAGCAUCAGGUAACAUCAAAUCGUACCCCAAACCGACACAGGUGGUCAGGUAGAGAAUACCAAGGCGCUUGAGAGAACUCGGGUGAAGGAACUAGGCAAAAUGGUGCCGUAACUUCGGGAGAAGGCACGCUGAUAUGUAGGUGAAGUCCCUCGCGGAUGGAGCUGAAAUCAGUCGAAGAUACCAGCUGGCUGCAACUGUUUAUUAAAAACACAGCACUGUGCAAACACGAAAGUGGACGUAUACGGUGUGACGCCUGCCCGGUGCCGGAAGGUUAAUUGAUGGGGUCAGCGCAAGCGAAGCUCUUGAUCGAAGCCCCGGUAAACGGCGGCCGUAACUAUAACGGUCCUAAGGUAGCGAAAUUCCUUGUCGGGUAAGUUCCGACCUGCACGAAUGGCGUAAUGAUGGCCAGGCUGUCUCCACCCGAGACUCAGUGAAAUUGAACUCGCUGUGAAGAUGCAGUGUACCCGCGGCAAGACGGAAAGACCCCGUGAACCUUUACUAUAGCUUGACACUGAACAUUGAGCCUUGAUGUGUAGGAUAGGUGGGAGGCUUUGAAGUGUGGACGCCAGUCUGCAUGGAGCCGGCCUUGAAAUACCACCCUUUAAUGUUUGAUGUUCUAACGUUGGCCCCUGAUCGGGGUUGCAGACAGUGUCUGGUGGGUAGUUUGACUGGGGCGGUCUCCUCCUAAAGAGUAACGGAGGAGCACGAAGGUUGGCUAAUCCUGGUCGGACAUCAGGAGGUUAGUGCAAUGGCAUAAGCCAGCUUGACUGCGAGCGUGACGGCGCGAGCAGGUGCGAAAGCAGGUCAUAGUGAUCCGGUGGUUCUGAAUGGAAGGGCCAUCGCUCAACGGAUAAAAGGUACUCCGGGGAUAACAGGCUGAUACCGCCCAAGAGUUCAUAUCGACGGCGGUGUUUGGCACCUCGAUGUCGGCUCAUCACAUCCUGGGGCUGAAGUAGGUCCCAAGGGUAUGGCUGUUCGCCAUUUAAAGUGGUACGCGAGCUGGGUUUAGAACGUCGUGAGACAGUUCGGUCCCUAUCUGCCGUGGGCGCUGGAGAACUGAGGGGGGCUGCUCCUAGUACGAGAGGACCGGAGUGGACGCAUCACUGGUGUUCGGGUUGUCAUGCCAAUGGCACUGCCCGGUAGCUAAAUGCGGAAGAGAUAAGUGCUGAAAGCAUCUAAGCACGAAACUUGCCCCGAGAUGAGUUCUCCCUGACUCCUUGAGAGUCCUGAAGGAACGUUGAAGACGACGACGUUGAUAGGCCGGGUGUGUAAGCGCAGCGAUGCGUUGAGCUAACCGGUACUAAUGAACCGUGAGGCUUAACCUU
This 2900-nucleotide ribosomal RNA is filed under the name Escherichia coli. Its description in RNAcentral is "bacterial LSU rRNA". It matches the Rfam family "Bacterial large subunit ribosomal RNA". The record is from RNAcentral. Lineage: Bacteria; Pseudomonadati; Pseudomonadota; Gammaproteobacteria; Enterobacterales; Enterobacteriaceae.